Molecule: long non-coding RNA, 415 nt
Filed under: Androctonus crassicauda
Lineage: Eukaryota; Metazoa; Arthropoda; Arachnida; Scorpiones; Buthidae
Source: RNAcentral
AAUAAAUGAAUUAUUAAAUUUAGAAAAUUUUGUAAUGCAAUAUUAAUAUACCAUGCCAAAUUCUGAUGAAAAAUUUAUUUGAAGUUAUUCAAAUAAAUUUUACCCACUGUACGCAAAAGAAAUCACUGGGAAAGGCCCAUCAUACUCCUUAAAGGAAGUCAGUAGAAUACAGGAAAUGAUACCUCAGUUCGAAAAAUUAUUAUUAGAAGACAACGAAAUCGAUGAGCUACAGAAAGAACGGUACAGGUGGAAGUUCAUAGAAGAAACACUUAGAAGAAAGCAUAUAAAUGCUAAACAAACCCAGCAAACAAGGAAAGAGAAACUUGUGAUAAAGCAAACUUACAAAUGGCUAAUGCAGAACGAGUUAUCGAUCACAAGAGAAGACAAAUCAAAGAAGCUAGUCCUACUAAAAAGA